This 860-nucleotide ribosomal RNA is filed under the name uncultured bacterium. RNAcentral describes it as "bacterial SSU rRNA". It matches the Rfam family "Bacterial small subunit ribosomal RNA", at positions 1 to 848 of the family's 1533-position model. The record is from RNAcentral.
UAGAGUUUGAUCCUGGCUCAGGAUGAACGCUGGCGGCGUGCCUAAUACAUGCAAGUCGAACGCACAGCGAAAGGUGCUUGCACCUUUCAAGUGAGUGGCGAACGGGUGAGUAACACGUGGAUAACCUACCUCAAGGUUGGGGAUAACAUUUGGAAACAGAUGCUAAUACCGAAUAAAACUUCGUAUCGCAUGAUACAAGGUUAAAAGGCGCUACGGCGUCACCUAGAGAUGGAUCCGCGGUGCAUUAGUUAGUUGGUGGGGUAAAGGCCUACCAAGACAAUGAUGCAUAGCCGAGUUGAGAGACUGAUCGGCCACAUUGGGACUGAGACACGGCCCAAACUCCUACGGGAGGCUGCAGUAGGGAAUCUUCCACAAUGGGCGAAAGCCUGAUGGAGCAACGCCGCGUGUGUGAUGAAGGCUUUCGGGUCGUAAAGCACUGUUGUAUGGGAAGAACAGCUAGAGUAGGGAAUGACUUUAGUUUGACGGUACCAUACCAGAAAGGGACGGCUAAAUACGUGCCAGCAGCCGCGGUAAUACGUAUGUCCCGAGCGUUAUCCGGAUUCAUUGGGCGUAAAGCGAGCGCAGACGGUUGAUUAAGUCUGAUGUGAAAGCCCGGAGCUCAACUCCGGAAAGGCAUUGGAAACUGGUCAACUUGAGUGCAGUAGAGGUAAGUGGAACUCCAUGUGUAGCGGUGGAAUGCGUAGAUAUAUGGAAGAACACCAGCGGCGAAGGCGGCUUACUGGACUGUAACUGACGUUGAGGCUCGAAAGUGUGGGUAGCAAACAGGAUUAGAUACCCUGGUAGUCCACACCGUAAACGAUGAACACUAGGUGUUAGGAGGUUUCCGCCUCUUAGUGCCG